Molecule: ribosomal RNA, 492 nt
Filed under: uncultured bacterium
Lineage: Bacteria
Description: partial 16S ribosomal RNA
Rfam family: Bacterial small subunit ribosomal RNA
Source: RNAcentral
AGUGAACGCUGGCGGUAGGCCUAACACAUGCAAGUCGAACGGCAGCACAGUAAGAGCUUGCUCUUACGGGUGGCGAGUGGCGGACGGGUGAGGAAUACAUCGGAAUCUACUUUUUCGUGGGGGAUAACGUAGGGAAACUUACGCUAAUACCGCAUACGACCUCCGGGUGAAAGCAGGGGAUCUUCGGACCUUGCGCGAUUGAAUGAGCCGAUGUCGGAUUAGCUAGUUGGCGGGGUAAAGGCCCACCAAGGCGACGAUCCGUAGCUGGUCUGAGAGGAUGAUCAGCCACACUGGAACUGAGACACGGUCCAGAGUCCUACGGGAGGCAGCAGUGGGGAAUAUUGGACAAUGGGCGCAAGCCUGAUCCAGCCAUACCGCGUGGGUGAAGAAGGCCUUCGGGUUGUAAAGCCCUUUUGUUGGGAAAGAAAAGCAGCAGGUUAAUACCCCGCUGUUCUGACGGUACCCAAAGAAUAAGCACCGGCUAACUUCGUG